AGUGAACGCUGGCGGCAGGCCUAAUACAUGCAAGUCGAACGGCAGCACAGUAAGAUUUUGCCCCUACGGGUGGCGAGUGGCGGACGGGUGAGGCAUACAUCGGAUUCUACUUUUUCGUGGGGGACAACGUAGGGCAACUUACGCUACUACCUCAUAUGAUCUACGGCUUGAAUCAGUGGUUCUUCGGACCUUUCCCGUCUCAAUGAGCUGACGCCGCAUUAGCUAGUUGGUAUGGUAAAGGCCCACCAAGGCGACGAUCCGUAGCUGAUCUGAGAGGAUGAUCAGCCACACUGGAACUGAGACACGGUCCAGACUCCUACGGGAGGCAGCAGUAGGGAAUCUUGGACAAUGGGCGAAAGCCUGACGGAGCAAUGCCGCGUGAGUGAAGAAGGCCUUCGGAUUGUAAAACCCUGUUAUUAGGGAAGAACAACAGCGGAAUUAAACACGGAUGUUCUGACGGUACCCAAAGAGAAAGCACCGGCUAACUUCGUG
This 492-nucleotide ribosomal RNA is filed under the name uncultured bacterium. RNAcentral's name for it is "partial 16S ribosomal RNA". It matches the Rfam family "Bacterial small subunit ribosomal RNA", at positions 29 to 507 of the family's 1533-position model. The record is from RNAcentral.